UACCAGCUCUCCGAGUGGUGUGGAUGUUUAUUGGGCCUAAAGCAUCCGUAGCUGGCUGGGCAAGUCCCCUGUUAAAUCCACCGAUUUAAUCGUUGGUGUGCGGGGGAUACUGUUCGGCUAGGGGACGGGAGAGGCCGACGGUAUUUUCGGGGUAGGGGUGAAAUCCUAUAAUCCCGGGAAGACCACCAGUGGCGAAGGCUGUCGGCUAGAACGCGCCCGACGGUGAGGGAUGAAAGCUGGGGGAGCGAACCGGAUUAGAUACCCGGGUAGUCCCAGCUGUAAACGAUGCAGGCUAGGUGUUUGGGCGGCCACGUGCCGCUCUAGUGCCGCAGGGAAGUCGUUAAGCCUGCCGCCUGGGGAGUACGGCCGCAAGGCUGAAACUUAAAGGAAUUGGCGGGGGAGCACCACAAGGGGUGAAGCUUGCGGUUU
RNAcentral lists this ribosomal RNA (429 nucleotides) under uncultured archaeon. Its description in RNAcentral is "bacterial SSU rRNA". It matches the Rfam family "Archaeal small subunit ribosomal RNA", at positions 474 to 903 of the family's 1478-position model. The record is from RNAcentral.